AUUGAACGCUGGCGGCAGGCCUAACACAUGCAAGUCGAACGAGUGGCGGACGGGUGAGUAAUGUCUUGGAAACUGCCUGAUGGAGGGGGAUAACUACUGGAAACGGUGGCUAAUACCGCAUACCAUCGGAUGUGCCCAGAUGGGAUUAGCUAGUAGGUGGGUUAACGGCUAACCUAGGCGACGAUCCCUAGCUGGUCUGAGAGGAUGAGCAGCCACACUGGAACUGAGACACGGUCCAGACUCCUACGGGAGGCAGCAGUGGGGAAUAUUGCGCAAUGGGCGCAAGCCUGAUCCAGCAAUGCCGCGUGUAUGAAGAAGGCCUUCGGGGUGUAAAGUACUUUCAGCGGGGAGGCGUUAUCCAAAGAAGAAGCACCGGCUAACUCCGUGCCAGCAGCCGCGGUAAUAC
This 406-nucleotide ribosomal RNA is filed under the name uncultured bacterium. RNAcentral's name for it is "partial 16S ribosomal RNA". It matches the Rfam family "Bacterial small subunit ribosomal RNA", at positions 30 to 526 of the family's 1533-position model. The record is from RNAcentral.